UACGUAGGGUGCAAGCGUUGUCCGGAAUCAUUGGGCGUAAAGCGCGUGUAGGCGGCUUGUUAAGUCCGCUCUGAAAGCCCGGGGCUCAACCCCGGGAGGCGGGUGGAUACUGGCAAGCUUGAGUCCGGAAGAGGCGAGUGGAAUUCCUGGUGUAGCGGUGAAAUGCGCAGAUAUCAGGAAGAACACCUAUGGCGAAGGCAGCUCUCUGGGACGGUACUGACGCUGAGACGCGAAAGCGUGGGGAGCGAACAGG
Molecule: ribosomal RNA, 253 nt
Filed under: uncultured bacterium
Lineage: Bacteria
Description: partial 16S ribosomal RNA
Rfam family: Bacterial small subunit ribosomal RNA
Source: RNAcentral